GCGCAGGUUCCGGAGCGGUUAACGGGAUCGCCUGCAGAGCGGUUAUUCGCAGGUUCGAAUCCUGCCCUGCGCU
RNAcentral lists this transfer RNA (73 nucleotides) under Candidatus Woesearchaeota archaeon. RNAcentral describes it as "tRNA-Cys". It matches the Rfam family "tRNA". Rfam says of the family: Transfer RNA (tRNA) molecules are approximately 80 nucleotides in length. Lineage: Archaea; Nanobdellati; Candidatus Woesearchaeota. The record is from RNAcentral.